AGGAAAUUCUGUCCAAUGCAGAAUAAGAGGGGGAAGUUGUCGUUUUGGGGGCUGCCAGUUCGCUGAAACACAGGUUGGGAAAUGUUUCAGUUUCGUACCCUGUUGCAGCAGGACAUGGUACUGAUGCCCUGAAUUCUGUGAGCAGGAUGUCCCCCUCGCUUUUUGCUCCUGGAAACAGUUCCUGACAUCCUGUUCCAUGGGCCUACAAUUGUUUGGCCAGUGGCUGCUUUUCCCUGCUCAAAUAAAGGCAUGCUGUUUGGCAUUGCAGCUGGUG
This is a long non-coding RNA of Oxyura jamaicensis (ruddy duck), 274 nucleotides long. RefSeq lists it as uncharacterized. NCBI's taxonomy places the organism in Eukaryota, Metazoa, Chordata, Aves, Anseriformes, Anatidae. The transcript has 2 exons. The record is from RefSeq and is a predicted model, not a curated record.